This is a non-coding RNA of Xylaria longipes, 111 nucleotides long. Lineage: Eukaryota; Fungi; Ascomycota; Sordariomycetes; Xylariales; Xylariaceae. The record is from the annotation of a GenBank genome assembly.
GCCCGCUUGGCUAAGUGGUAUAGCGUGUCACUAGUACCAUGGGACUCAUUAAAAGAAUCUCGUAGACUAAAUGCCAUGACAAGAUCAGCGGUUCGAUUCCGCUAGUGGGCA